This 233-nucleotide ribosomal RNA is filed under the name uncultured bacterium. RNAcentral describes it as "partial 16S ribosomal RNA". It matches the Rfam family "Bacterial small subunit ribosomal RNA", at positions 15 to 237 of the family's 1533-position model. The record is from RNAcentral.
GAUCCUGGCUCAGGAUGAACGCUAGCGACAGGCUUAACACAUGCAAGUCGAGGGGCAGCAUGAUUUGUAGCAAUACAGAUUGAUGGCGACCGGCGCACGGGUGAGUAACGCGUAUGCAACUUACCUAUCAGGAGGGGGAUAGCCCGGCGAAGUCGGAUUAAUACCCCAUAAAACAGGGGUCCCGCAUGGGAAUAUUUGUUAAAGAUUCAUCGCUGAUAAGAUAGGCAUGCGUU